AACUGAGUACUUUUAAAUAUUUAUUCGACACUUAAUACUGAGUAGAUACUUUGAAUCGACCCUGAGUACAUGUAUCAAAGAACUGAUUUGAACAGA
Long non-coding RNA from Rhagoletis zephyria (snowberry fruit fly), 96 nucleotides. RefSeq lists it as uncharacterized. The record is from RefSeq and is a predicted model, not a curated record. NCBI's taxonomy places the organism in Eukaryota, Metazoa, Arthropoda, Insecta, Diptera, Tephritidae.